Molecule: ribosomal RNA, 570 nt
Filed under: Triticum aestivum (bread wheat)
Lineage: Eukaryota; Viridiplantae; Streptophyta; Magnoliopsida; Poales; Poaceae
Description: partial small subunit ribosomal RNA
Source: RNAcentral
AUGCAGUAUAUAGUAGUGCCAGCUACAUCGAAAACCAUGGGGCCUUCACGAGCUGUCCCCUGCCUGGUCCUCCUCUUCCUCCUCUCCUCGUCCAGCGGCGCUUCCGUUGUACUAGAAGACACGUGCAAAUCCAUCGCCGCCGGCAAGGAAAGGAGCAUCGGCUACAACUACUGCAUCAAGUUUUUCGAGGCCAGCAAGGGCAGCGCCACCGCCGACAAGCGUGGCUUGGCCGUCAUCGCGUCGAAGCUCAACAGAAGAGCGGCAGCCAAGAGCAUGGUCAAGCGCAUCCACGCCCUCAGGGCCUCGGAGAAGGACAAGGUCAUCCAGAUGGGCCUCGACAUCUGCGGCCAAUUGUACUCGACAGCCGUGGACGAGCUCGAUGCUGCGGCUAAAGGCGUCGAGGCGGGCACACCGGAAGUCAAAUUUGACGCGGAGAUGUACCUCACCGGCGCGUUCGACGCCCCCGAGACCUGCGAGACCGGGUUCGGGGAGAUGGGCCUGAAGUCGCCGCCCGACGCCGAGUUCACUAAGGAGGUGUACAUCGCGAUGGCUGUAACGCACUCGUUAUAG